This 94-nucleotide ribosomal RNA is filed under the name PS1 clade bacterium. RNAcentral's name for it is "partial 23S ribosomal RNA". It matches the Rfam family "Bacterial large subunit ribosomal RNA", at positions 2841 to 2925 of the family's 2925-position model. The record is from RNAcentral. Lineage: Bacteria; Pseudomonadati; Pseudomonadota; Alphaproteobacteria.
AAGACUACCACUUCGAUAGGCUGGGUGUGGAAGUAUAGCAAUAUAUGAAGCUUACCAGUACUAAUCGCUCGAUUGGCUUGAUUACACUCAUUAU